Ornithorhynchus anatinus (platypus) is the source of this 2501-nucleotide long non-coding RNA. RefSeq lists it as uncharacterized. The transcript has 8 exons. The record is from RefSeq and is a predicted model, not a curated record. Lineage: Eukaryota; Metazoa; Chordata; Mammalia; Monotremata; Ornithorhynchidae.
ACAGUCGCUGUCCCACAAGGGGCUCACAGUUUCGAUCCCCAUUUUGCUGCUUUGGCACCUAGGCCCUGAAAAAAAAUUACCAGUAGGGAGAAGUUCUAGAAUAUGACAGAGAUCUCUUUCCCCUACUAGACUCUAGUCUCCUGAAGGGCAGGGAGCAGCAUACGGAAUGAUUGAUUGCAAGGUCUCUAACUGAUCGGAACAUAUUUUGACGUGCACGGGUCAGGACCGGUGAGGAGACAUCAGUCUUUCCCCGGGGAUGGACAUUUUCUUAUCCGUAGGGCCAGAGGAUGCCCAGAGAGUCACCUGGAGAGGUUCCAGGGCAGAUGUUCUUUUCUCUCACCCCCACUCCCCAUCCCCAGAGGAGCCUCUGGAUGGUCAUGGGGAACGUCUCCGUUGGCGCUCGGUCCCGGAAGGAGCUGUGGACUAGAAUCCCAGUCUGGAGCCGCCAGGGAGGACAGCUCCUCUUCUCUCCCCGACCCGUCAGCGAGUGGCUUGGGUGCGGAUGACCCCGGAACCGCGACCCACUCAUGUGAAGAAAUGGAACCAGGAGCUGCACUGCCUAUCCAAAGGGAAGAUGGAGUGGGCAUGUGUUUGUCUACGUGUGCACGUGUGAUGGGGAUUCAUCUUACGAGACAGGGGCUGCUACUCUCAGCGCAGAGGUUCAUUCUGGAAAUGGGAGUUAACACAGCCAAUUCAUUCUGCUAGACUUGACUCUGGGACCCGAGAAGUCGCAGGGACCUUAAAGGUUCAGGCGGGUCAAACCUCCCUGUGCCCCCAGUCUGGGUCCGACCUCACUGACUGGUAUCUAUCCCGGUGCUUAUAACAGUGCUUGGCACAUAGUAAGCGCUUAAUAAAUACCACGAUCAUGAUCCUCAGGGAGCAGAAGUCAGUCUCCUCAACCCCAAAUGGAUUUCAGCCAAGAUGAGGAGAGAAGCUCCAGGAACAAUUCACUUACAUCACCAAGCACUCAGAGGCCCCAGUCUGGCUGCUUCAAAGUCCUCGAUUCUCCUGGAGACAUUAAUAUCUGGCGACUGAGAUGUGGACCUCAGCUGCUGACAGAGGGCAGGGUGAGAAACCCAUACCUUCAGGAUCACUAAUCCAGGGUCAUCGGGAGGAGGGAAAAUUGAAUGCUUGCUAACCAAGUCUGAAAGCCCAAACCGUCUCUCUUCCGCUUCGAGACCACCGAUUCUCUGGGAGACAUCAGCAUCCGGCGAUUUCAGUUAUGACUUUGGGUGUGGACGGAGGGCGAGGUGAGAAACCCCUAUCUUUGGGAUCGCUAAAUCCAGGCGUCCCUGCCGAGGUUUCAGAUGUGCAAUCGGCAGGACCGGAAGAGGAGCGCCAAUCGUUCCCUACCUUUUUCGGACCGAUGCUCCGGGACCCCGUACCACGUGGCCGGAGGAGGCCUCGACGGCGAGCCCUCCCCCGGCCCCCGCAAAGGUUCGUCGUCCAGAUGGUCCUGAGACUCGGAAGGAAGUCCCAAGGCCAUCACACAAGGCAGGGCUUGUCACCGUCUACCUCCUCCUAAUCUGAGUCUCUAUAGGGAGCAUAGAAAGAUUUGGUCCUGCGUCCCGUAGGCCUUACCACUCUCCUGUUUAGUCUGCCACCUCACUGGAAAGUUCUUGCUCUUUCAGUGUGGGCCUCUCCCAGCCCGGGAGUGUGGAAGAUCGAGUGGGAGGGUUAGGGAAGAGUGGAGAAGCUUGGGCAUCUGUGGCCAUUCUCUCAGGUCUGUUGACCAAUAGGUUGAUGAGAGGGUGGUGGAGGAAUGUCUUUAUUUUGGAGAAACCGUAUUGUUUGCAACGCCUCCCAUUUCCUUCUCCACUUGCAGGAGCACCAUCAGACCACUCAUUCCGCAGAGUGCCGUCGGGGGGAGUCUAAGUACCGGGACCACCUCGACGAUCUCACAGCUGCUGAGAAGGAAUUUAACUCUGUCCGUCUUCGGCUCGGCCACGGAUCCGCCAUUCCAGAUGUGCACGGGUCAGGACCAAUGGAGAAAUGUCAGUCUCUCCCCUGGGGCGGACACUUGCUUAUACCUAUGGCCAGAGGAGGCCCAGAGAGCAAAGCGCUCGUGUUCAGAGUGGAGCUGAGAUGAGGGAAGGCACCCAAAGAGUGGACUACGUCGCGACCGACGGGUCGCCGGCCGUCGCGCCGGACGCGGAACGUUCGGGUCCUCCGUGGCCGUGAGGAUCUCGACUGGGCGGCGUGGAUACGACGGGAUGGCUCCCCGGGCCUCUCCAGGGACCGAAUUGAGAACCAUCCCCGGCCCCCAAUCCGACGAUGCCGUUUCCUUGAGGAUAAAUAUGGUAUUGCCGGGGGUACCCGCUGCCUCCUCCGGAAAGCGAUGGGUUUGUGUGGGAUGCGUGUGUGCGCCGUGGGAUCGACUUGGAGGCGUGAGGGGGCCGUUCAUUCAUCGAAGGGUAUUUGUCGAGCACUUACCGUGUGCAAAGCUCUGUACUGAGGGCUCGGGAGAGUACCAUGACACAAUAAACAGGCCCAUUCCCUGU